This 919-nucleotide ribosomal RNA is filed under the name uncultured archaeon. Its description in RNAcentral is "bacterial SSU rRNA". It matches the Rfam family "Archaeal small subunit ribosomal RNA", at positions 1 to 922 of the family's 1478-position model. The record is from RNAcentral.
UUCCGGUUGAUCCCGCCGGAGGCCAUUGCUAUCGGAGUUCGAUUUAGCCAUGCUAGUCGCACGGGUUCAGACCCGUGGCGUAUAGCUCAGUAACACGUGGCCAAACUACCCUGUGGACGGGGAUACUCUCGGGAAACUGAGGCUAAUCCCUGAUAGGGCUUUGAGCCUGGAGUGGCCAAAGUCCCAAACGUUUCGGCGCCACAGGAUGUGGCUGCGGCCGAUUAGGUAGACGGUGGGGUAACGGCCCACCGUGCCAGUAAUCGGUACGGGUGAUGAGAGUCAGAGCCCGGAGACGGUAUCUGAGACAAGAUACCGGGCCCUACGGGGCGCAGCAGGCGCGAAACCUUUACACUGCACGCCAGUGCGAUAAGGGGACUCCAAGUGCGAGGGCAUAUCGUCCUCGCUAUCCUGUACUGUAGGGCAGUACAGUAUCAAGAGCUGGGCAAGACCGGUGCCAGCCGCCGCGGUAAUACCGGCAGCUCAAGUGAUGGCCGAUCUUAUUGGGCCUAAAGCGUCCGUAGCUGGCCGAGCAAGUUUGUCGGGAAACCCAUCAGCUCAACUGAUGGGCGUCCGGCGGAAACUACAAGGCUUGGGACCGGAAGGCUCGAGGGGUACGUCCGGGGUAGGAGUGAAAUCCCGUAAUCCCGAACGGACCACCGAUGGCGAAAGCACCUCGAGAAGACGGCUCCGACAGUGAGGGACGAAAGCUAGGGUCUCGAACCGGAUUAGAUACCCGGGUAGUCCUAGCCGUAAACGAUGUUCGCUAGGUGUGGCACUGGCUACGAGCCAGUGCUGUGCCGUAGGGAAGCCGAGAAGCGAACCGCCUGGGAAGUACGUCUGCAAGGAUGAAACUUAAAGGAAUUGGCGGGGGAGCACUACAACCGGAGGAGCCUGCGGUUUAAUUGGAUUCAACGCCGGA